RNAcentral lists this ribosomal RNA (426 nucleotides) under uncultured bacterium. RNAcentral describes it as "bacterial SSU rRNA". It matches the Rfam family "Bacterial small subunit ribosomal RNA", at positions 356 to 773 of the family's 1533-position model. The record is from RNAcentral.
GGGGAAUCUUGCGCAAUGGACGAAAGUCUGACGCAGCAACGCCGCGUGGGUGAUGAAGGUCUUCGGAUCGUAAAGCCCUGUCGGCAGGGAAAAUGCUUACGCCGUCUAACAGAUGGCGUGGGUGAUUGUACCUGCAAAGGAAGCACCGGCUAACUCUGUGCCAGCAGCCGCGGUAAUACAGAGGGUGCAAGCGUUGUUCGGAAUUAUUGGGCGUAAAGGGAGUGUAGGCUGUUCUUUAAGUCUUCUGUGAAAUCUACGGGCUCAGCCUGUAACGUGCAGAGGAUACUGAAGAGCUUGAGUGUCGGAGAGGAUAGUGGAAUUCCAGGUGUAGAAGUGAAAUUCGUAGAGAUCUGGAGGAACACCAGUGGCGAAGGCGACUAUCUGGCUGACAACUGACGCUGAGACUCGAAAGCAUGGGGAGCAAAC